GAUGAACGCUGGCGGCGUGCCUAAUACAUGCAAGUCGAGCGAACAGACGAGGAGCUUGCUCCUUUGACGUUAGCGGCGGACGGGUGAGUAACACGUAGGUAACCUACCUAUAAGACUGGGAUAACUUCGGGAAACCGGAGCUAAUACCGGAUAAUAUUUCGAACCGCAUGGUUCGAUAGUGAAAGAUGGCUUUGCUGUCACUUAUAGAUGGACCGGCGCCGUAUUAGCUAGUUGGUAAGGUAACGGCUUACCAAGGCAACGAUACGUAGCCGACCUGAGAGGGGGAUGGGCAACACGGGAACUGAGACAGGGCCCAGACUCCUAGGGAGGGAAGCGUUGGGAAACUUGCCGCAAGGGGCGAAGGCUGACCGGGGCAACGCGGGGUGGGUAAGAAGGGCCUUCGGAUCGAAAAACUCUUUUAUAGGGAAGAAACAAAGGUGAAGGAAACUGUGCAGUUCUGGAGGGAACCUAAUCAGAAGGCCAGGGCAAACUAGGG
Molecule: ribosomal RNA, 496 nt
Filed under: uncultured bacterium
Lineage: Bacteria
Description: partial 16S ribosomal RNA
Rfam family: Bacterial small subunit ribosomal RNA
Source: RNAcentral